GAGUAGGGCCGGCAGCUACACAUGCAAGUCGAGCGGUAGAGAGAAGCUUGCUUCUCUUGAGAGCGGCGGACGGGUGAGUAAUGCCUAGGAAUCUGCCUGGUAGUGGGGGAUAACGUUCGGAAACGGACGCUAAUACCGCAUACGUCCUACGGGAGAAAGCAGGGGACCUUCGGGCCUUGCGCUAUCAGAUGAGCCUAGGUCGGAUUAGCUAGUUGGUGGGGUAAUGGCUCACCAAGGCGACGAUCCGUAACUGGUCUGAGAGGAUGAUCAGUCACACUGGAACUGAGACACGGUCCAGACUCCUACGGGAGGCAGCAGUGGGGAAUAUUGGACAAUGGGCGAAAGCCUGAUCCAGCCAUGCCGCGUGUGUGAAGAAGGUCUUCGGAUUGUAAAGCACUUUAAGUUGGGAGGAAGGGUUGUAGAUUAAUACUCUGCAAUUUUGACGUUACCGACAGAAUAAGCACCGGCUAACUCUGUGCCAGCAGCCGCGGUAAUACAGAGGGUGCAAGCGUUAAUCGGAAUUACUGGGCGUAAAGCGCGCGUAGGUGGUUAGUUAAGUUGGAUGUGAAAUCCCCGGGCUCAACCUGGGAACUGCAUUCAAAACUGACUGACUAGAGUAUGGUAGAGGGUGGUGGAAUUUCCUGUGUAGCGGUGAAAUGCGUAGAUAUAGGAAAGGAACACCAGUGGCGAAGGCGACCACCUGGACUGAUACUGACACUGAGGUGCGAAAGCGUGGGGAGCAAACAGGAUUAGAUACCCUGGUAGUCCACGCCGUAACGAUGUCCACUAGCCGUUGGAGCCUUGAGCUCUUAGUGGCGCAGCUAACGCAUUAAGUUGACCGCCUGGGAGUACAGCCGCAAGUUAAAACUCAAAUGAAUUGACGGGGCCCGCACAACCGAGGAAGCUAUGUGG
This 912-nucleotide ribosomal RNA is filed under the name Pseudomonas gessardii. RNAcentral describes it as "bacterial SSU rRNA". It matches the Rfam family "Bacterial small subunit ribosomal RNA", at positions 35 to 944 of the family's 1533-position model. Lineage: Bacteria; Pseudomonadati; Pseudomonadota; Gammaproteobacteria; Pseudomonadales; Pseudomonadaceae. The record is from RNAcentral.